Molecule: transfer RNA, 84 nt
Filed under: Hypoxylon sp. FL1857
Lineage: Eukaryota; Fungi; Ascomycota; Sordariomycetes; Xylariales; Hypoxylaceae
Description: tRNA-Arg
Rfam family: tRNA
About the family: Transfer RNA (tRNA) molecules are approximately 80 nucleotides in length.
Source: RNAcentral
GGUCCGUUGGCCCAAUGGUAAGGCGUCUGACUACGACUUCCAUCAGUUAUCAGGAGAUUCUGGGUUCGACCCCCAGGCGGACCU